Molecule: ribosomal RNA, 757 nt
Filed under: uncultured sediment bacterium
Lineage: Bacteria
Description: bacterial SSU rRNA
Rfam family: Bacterial small subunit ribosomal RNA
Source: RNAcentral
AGAGUUUGAUCCUGGCUCAGGAUGAACGCUGGCGGCGUGCUUUACCAAUGUGAGUCGAACGGUACGGGUUGAGCUUCGGCUUGGCCACGACCGUGGCGUCCGGGUGCGUAACACGUAGCUAACCUACCGGCGGGUGGGGAAUAACUCCGGGAAACCGGAGACAAUACCGCAUAUGGUCGCGGGGUAAUGCCCGUGGACAAAAGCUGUGUCGAGGGAACUCGAUAUGGCGCCUGCUGAGGGGGCUGCGGCCGAUUAGCUAGUUGGUGGGGUAAUGGCUCACCAAGGCGAUGAUCGGUAGCGGGUCUGAGAGGAUGAUCCGCCACACGGGGACUGAGACAUGGUCCCGAGCCCUACGGGGUUUAGCAUGGAGGAAUCUUGCGCAAUGGGCGAAAGCCUGACGCAGCGACGCCGCGUGGGGGACGAAGGCCUUCGGGUCGUAAACCCCUUUUCUGGGGGACGCAACUGACGGUACCCCAGGAAUAAGCCUCGGCUAACUACGUGCCAGCAGCCGCGGCAAUACGUAGGAGGCGAGCGUUAUCCGGAAUUACUGGGCGUAGAGCGCUCGUAGGCGGCUCGAUAGGUGCUCUGUGAAAGCCCCCGGCUCACCCGGGGAGGGUCGGAGCAAACCAUCGAGCUCGAGGCAGGCAGAGGGCCGCGGAACGUCCGGGGGAGUGGUGGAAUGCGUAGAUCCCGGACGGAACACCAGAGGCGAAGGCGGCGGUCUGGGUCUGUCCUGACGCUGAGGAGCGACAGCGUG